GCAGCGUCACGUGUUUCUUACCGGAGGUAGAGCUACUGGAUAGCUGAUGGGCCUCACCAGGUUACUGACGUUAGCCAAACUCCGAAUGCCGGUAAGUGAGAGCGUGGCAGUGAGACUGCGGGGGAUAAGCUCCGUAGUCGAGAGGGAAACAGCCCAGACCACCAUCUAAGGUCCCUAAGCGUGUGCUAAGUGGGAAAGGAUGUGGAGUUGCAUUGACAACCAGGAGGUUGGCUUAGAAGCAGCCACCCUUUAAAGAGUGCGUAAUAGCUCACUGGUCAAGUGAUUCCGCGCCGACAAUGUAGCGGGGCUCAAGCACACCACCGAAGCUGUGGCAUUGACACACUGCUCGGCCAGUUUUCCUGCGGGGUUCUGGUCCAGGCGUGUUGAUGGGUAGGGGAGCGUCGUGUGGCCAGGGAAGCGGCGGAGUGAUCCAGCCGUGGAGGCCACACGAGUGAGAAUGCAGGCAUGAGUAGCGAAUGACGGGCGAGAAACCCGUCCGCCGAAUAACCAAGGGUUCCAGGGUCAAGCUAAUCUGCCCUGGGUAAGUCGGGACCUAAGGCGAGGCCGACAGGCGUAGUCGAUGGACAUCCGGUUGAUAUUCCGGAACCGGCGAAGAACCGCCCAUGACGAACCUAGUGAUGCUAAACGCCCAAAGCUGUUGUCCAAGACCUUCGGGUUGAGGGUUUCAGUGGAGCGCGUGACCCGAUCUAGUAGUAGUCAAGCGAUGGAGAGACGCAGGAAGGUAGCCUCCGCGUGGCGAUGGUAGUCCACGUCCAAGGGUGUAGGGCGAGCUGUAGGCAAAUCCGCAGCUCACAUAGCCUGAGACCUGAUAGUGACCGCGUAUGCGGGAAGCAGGGUGAUCCUAUGCUGCCAAGAAAAUCUUCUAGCGAGGUUCGAGCCGCCCGUACCCCAAACCGACUCAGGUGGUUAGGUAGAGAAUACCAAGGCGAUCGAGUGAAUCGUGGUUAAGGAAUUCGGCAAAAUACCCCCGUAACUUCGGGAGAAGGGGGGCCCAGAGGGUGAAGGCACUUGCUGCCUAGCCUGAACGGCCGCAGAGACCAGGGAGAAGCGACUGUUUACUAAAAACACAGGUCCGUGCGAAGUCGCAAGACGAUGUAUACGGACUGACGCCUGCCCGGUGCUGGAAGGUUAAGAGGACCGGUUAGUUCUUCGGAGCGAAGCU
RNAcentral lists this ribosomal RNA (1183 nucleotides) under Salmonella enterica. Its description in RNAcentral is "partial 23S ribosomal RNA". It matches the Rfam family "Bacterial large subunit ribosomal RNA", at positions 876 to 1906 of the family's 2925-position model. Lineage: Bacteria; Pseudomonadati; Pseudomonadota; Gammaproteobacteria; Enterobacterales; Enterobacteriaceae. The record is from RNAcentral.